Molecule: ribosomal RNA, 289 nt
Filed under: Clessinia nattkemperi
Lineage: Eukaryota; Metazoa; Mollusca; Gastropoda; Stylommatophora; Odontostomidae
Description: partial 16S ribosomal RNA
Source: RNAcentral
CAGUUGGCCUUUAAUUGGGGUCGGGUAUGAAAGAAUUAAUCUAAGUAUAACUGUCUCAAUCAUAUUAUUAAUAUGAAUUUACUUAUUGGGUGAAAAUUCCCAACUAUAAACAAAAGACGAGAAGACCCUUAGACUUUUUCCUAGGUGUAAAUUAGAGUUUAUUAAAGGUUUUGUUGGGGCGACAGAAUGUCAUUAAUAAACAUAUUCAUAAAGUUGUAUGAUUUAACUAAUUUUAUUACUUAAAAUUGAAGUACCUAAGGGAUAACAGCAUUAUUAAUUAAUUACAUUG